Molecule: non-coding RNA, 54 nt
Organism: Salmo salar (Atlantic salmon)
Lineage: Eukaryota; Metazoa; Chordata; Actinopteri; Salmoniformes; Salmonidae
Source: Rfam
UGCAUUCACUACUGUAAGUCGCUCUGGAUAAGAGCAUCUGCUAAAUGAAUAAAA